This 350-nucleotide ribosomal RNA is filed under the name uncultured bacterium. Its description in RNAcentral is "bacterial SSU rRNA". It matches the Rfam family "Bacterial small subunit ribosomal RNA", at positions 917 to 1267 of the family's 1533-position model. The record is from RNAcentral.
GGGCCCGCACAAGCGGUGGAGUAUGUGGUUUAAUUCGAUGCAACGCGAAGAACCUUACCAGGGUUUGACAUCCUGCGAAUCUCUUGGAAACGAGAGAGUGCCUUCGGGAGCGCAGUGACAGGUGGUGCAUGGCUGUCGUCAGCUCGUGUCGUGAGAUGUUGGGUUAAGUCCCGCAACGAGCGCAACCCACGUCUUUAGUUGCCAGCAUUUAGUUGGGCACUCUAGAGAGACCGCCGGUGAUAAACCCGGAGGAAGGUGUGGAUGACGUCAAGUCAUCAUGCCCCUUACAUCCUGGGCUACACACGUACUACAAUGGCCGGUACAGAGAGCAGCCACCACGCGAGUGGGAG